GUGGGGAAUCUUGCGCAAUGGGCGAAAGCCUGACGCAGCCAUGCCGCGUGAAUGAUGAAGGUCUUAGGAUUGUAAAAUUCUUUCACCGGGGACGAUAAUGACGGUACCCGGAGAAGAAGCUCCGGCUAACUUCGUGCCAGCAGCCGCGGUAAUACGAAGGGGGCUAGCGUUGCUCGGAAUUACUGGGCGUAAAGGGCGCGUAGGCGGACAGCUUAGUCAGAGGUGAAAGCCCAGGGCUCAACCGUGGAAUGGCCUUUGAUACUGGCUGUCUUGAGUUUGGGAGAGGUGAGUGGAACUCCGAGUGUAGAGGUGAAAUUCGUAGAUAUUCGGAAGAACACCAGUGGCGAAGGCGACUCACUGGCCCAAUACUGACGCUGAGGCGCGAAAGCGUGGGGAGCAAACAGGAUUAGAUACCCUUGUAGUCC
Molecule: ribosomal RNA, 425 nt
Filed under: uncultured bacterium
Lineage: Bacteria
Description: partial 16S ribosomal RNA
Rfam family: Bacterial small subunit ribosomal RNA
Source: RNAcentral